Molecule: ribosomal RNA, 413 nt
Filed under: Liolaemus zapallarensis
Lineage: Eukaryota; Metazoa; Chordata; Lepidosauria; Squamata
Description: partial 16S ribosomal RNA
Rfam family: Bacterial large subunit ribosomal RNA
Source: RNAcentral
UUCAACGGCCGCGGUAUCCUAACCGUGCAAAGGUAGCGUAAUCACUUGUCCUCUAAAUAAGGACCAGUAUGAAUGGCUAAAUGAGGGCUAAACUGUCUCCUUUGAUCAAUCAGUGAAACUGAUCUACCAGUACAAAAGCUGGUAUUAAAACAUAAGACGAGAAGACCCUGUGGAGCUUUAAAUAUAAUGUCACCACAAUCACAAGCCUGANNNNNCAAAAAUUUUAAGUUGGGGCGACUUCGGAAAAAAACGAAACUUCCGAGCAUAGAAACUUCUUACUNAGGCCCACAAGCCAAAGCAAAACAUGACCCAGUAAAACUGAUUAACGAACCAAGUUACCCCAGGGAUAACAGCGCUAUCUUCUUCAAGAGUCCCUAUCGACAAGAAGGUUUACGACCUCGAUGUUGGAUCAG